This is an RNA transcript of Engraulis encrasicolus (European anchovy), 1780 nucleotides long. It is a transcript of the gene named guanine nucleotide-binding protein G(I)/G(S)/G(T) subunit beta-3-like, with no coding region annotated. The record is from RefSeq and is a predicted model, not a curated record. NCBI's taxonomy places the organism in Eukaryota, Metazoa, Chordata, Actinopteri, Clupeiformes, Engraulidae. The transcript is spliced from 9 exons.
AAUGGGUGAGGUGGCAGCGCUAAAAAAGGAGGUUGCGGAAAUCAAAGCUAAGAUCGAGGCUGCCCGCAAGGCAGUGGCCGACACAACCAUGGAUGCCGCAGCAUCUGGGGUGGCCGCCGCACCUCGCAUCCAGCCAAAAUCCAGGAGGAACCUCAAGGGCCACACAGCCAAAAUCUAUGCCCUCUACUGGGCCCUGGACAACAAAAACAUGAUCAGCGGGUCACAGGAUGGUAAACUGAUCGUUUGGGACACCCAUGCUGGAAAUUUGGCCAACAUGAUCCCCCUGAAGUCUGCCUGGGUGAUGACAGUCUCCUUCUCCCCCUCUGCCGGCCUCGUGGCCAGUGGUGGUCUCGACAACAUGUGCACUAUCUACAACAUCUCAGGAGAAAAGCCAAAGACUUUGAGAGAAAUCGAUGGCCAUGAUGGUUAUUGUGCCUGUGCCCGUUUCUUGAGCGAGACUGAGGUCCUUGUUGCCUCUGGUGAUCAGACCUGUGGUCUUUGGGACCUAGAGACUGGCAAACAGAAGGUAUCGUUCCUGAACCAUCAGGGAGACUGUAUGUGCGUGGCACUGUCUCCUGACCAGAACAGCUUCAUCUCUGGGGCCUGCGACUCCACUGCCAAGCUUUGGGACAUCAGGGACGGCCAGUGCAAGCAAACCUUUGUGGGCCACACUGGCGACAUCAACACCAUUGCGUUCUUCCCCAAUGGAAAUUGCGUAAUCACGGGCUCAGAUGACUGCCAAAUGAGGAUGAUGGACAUACGCGCUGACCAGGAAAUCAUGUGCUAUGAGAACCCCACGCCCAGCGCCGGCGUGACAUCACUGGCCCUGUCCCUCUCAGGGCGCCUCAUCUUUGCAGGCUACGAUGACUUCAACUGCAACAUCUGGGACUCUCUGAAGGGAGAGAAAGUUGGUGUCCUGGCUGGUCACGACAACAGAGUGAGCUGCGUUGGCAUCCCUAGCGACGGCCUGUGUGUGAGCACCGGCUCCUGGGACAGCUUCCUGAAAGUCUGGAACUGAGCAGGCUGCUGACGGCGCUAGCUGCCCUGGCACUGUCAACCAGAGCCAGCGCAGCAGAGCUGGAGGAGGGAGAGAGCGAUGAGGAAGACAAAACAAAACAGGGAACACAGCUAGCGUAGGAGAGGAGGAGGAGGAGGAGGAGGAGAGGAAUCGAGGGAAAUGAAUGAUUGUGUCCGUUGUUGUGUUGAAGCUGUUGAUGAAGAGAGUGGGUGGGUUUGUGUGUCAGGGAUGGGGUGCAGUGCAUGAGGCAUUGCAUGGUUUGUCAUCAGGGGAGAAAGGAUGGAAGUGUUUUUUUGUUUUUUUGUUUCCUUUCAUUCCAGGCUAAGUCUUCUCUUUCUUUGUGUGACUCGCUCACUUGUUCUUUCUCUCUUACUCUCUCCUCUCUCUCACUCUUCUUUCUUUGUACAAAACCUCGACGGCAAAAGCAAAGACUCCAUAGAAUGUACAGACACAGCAUUUUCACCACCUACUGCACCAUGGAAGUUAUUGCUGAGUGUUUCGAUUUAAUACCCCAACAAGGCUAGACGAUGAGAGAUGACAACACCUCCCUUGUACAGGUUUAGGGGAUUUUGAUAGGUGCAUUGCUGCAUGUUUGUUACCACGGCAAUCCAGCUGCCAUCUUAAAUCUGCGAUGACACUGCCACUCUGACGCAUGACGCAUGCGAUUGACCUGACUUUGAUGAUGUGGCUGAUGUUGCCUUUUGUCAAGCUACUCCAGGCGCACCAUAUUGUGUUUUGGCCAACAUAGAAAAAAAAACAUGA